RNAcentral lists this ribosomal RNA (468 nucleotides) under uncultured bacterium. RNAcentral's name for it is "partial 16S ribosomal RNA". It matches the Rfam family "Bacterial small subunit ribosomal RNA", at positions 355 to 817 of the family's 1533-position model. The record is from RNAcentral.
UGGGGAAUUUUGGACAAUGGGCGAAAGCCUGAUCCAGCAAUGCCGCGUGUGUGAAGAAGGCCUUCGGGUUGUAAAGCACUUUUGUCCGGAAAGAAAUCCUUGGCUCUAAUACAGUCGGGGGAUACGGUACCGGAAGAAUAAGCACCGGCUAACUACGUGCCAGCAGCCGCGGUAAUACGUAGGGUGCAAGCGUUAAUCGGAAUUACUGGGCGUAAAGCGUGCGCAGGCGGUUUGCUAAGACCGAUGUGAAAUCCCGGGCUCAACCUGGGAACUGCAUUGGUGACUGGCAGGCUAGAGUAUGGCAGAGGGGGUAGGAAUUCCACGUGUAGCAGUGAAAUGCGUAGAGAUGUGGAGGAAUACCGAUGGCGAAGGCAGCCCCCUGGGCCAAUACUGACGCUCAUGCACGAAAGCGUGGGGAGCAAACAGGAUUAGAUACCCUGGUAGUCCACGCCCUAAACGAUGUCAACU